ACGCUGGCGGCAGGCCUAACACAUGCAAGUCGAGCGGUAGAGAGAAGCUUGCUUCUCUUGAGAGCGGCGGACGGGUGAGUAAUGCCUAGGAAUCUGCCUGGUAGUGGGGGAUAACGUUCGGAAACGGGCGCUAAUACCGCAUACGUCCUACGGGAGAAAGCAGGGGACCUUCGGGCCUUGCGCUAUCAGAUGAGCCUAGGUCGGAUUAGCUAGUUGGUGAGGUAAUGGCUCACCAAGGCGACGAUCCGUAACUGGUCUGAGAGGAUGAUCAGUCACACUGGAACUGAGACACGGUCCAGACUCCUACGGGAGGCAGCAGUGGGGAAUAUUGGACAAUGGGCGAAAGCCUGAUCCAGCCAUGCCGCGUGUGAAGAAGGUCUUCGGAUUGUAAAGCACUUUAAGUUGGGAGGAAGGGUUGUAGAUUAAUACUCUGCAAUUUUGACGUUACCGACAGAAUAAGCACCGGCUAACUCUGUGCCAGCAGCCGCGGUAAUACAGAGGGUGCAAGCGUUAAUCGGAAUUACUGGGCGUAAAGCGCGCGUAGGUGGUUUGUUAAGUUGGAUGUGAAAUCCCCGGGCUCAACCUGGGAACUGCAUUCAAAACUGACUGACUAGAGUAUGGUAGAGGGUGGUGGAAUUUCCUGUGUAGCGGUGAAAUGCGUAGAUAUAGGAAGGAACACCAGUGGCGAAGGCGACCACCUGGACUAAUACUGACACUGAGGUGCGAAAGCGUGGGGAGC
Molecule: ribosomal RNA, 739 nt
Filed under: uncultured bacterium
Lineage: Bacteria
Description: bacterial SSU rRNA
Rfam family: Bacterial small subunit ribosomal RNA
Source: RNAcentral